AUCCAUCUGACGAUUCCUAAGUAGGACGAAACGCGCGUCUAGCUGGAU
Non-coding RNA from Schistosoma margrebowiei, 48 nucleotides. The record is from Rfam. NCBI's taxonomy places the organism in Eukaryota, Metazoa, Platyhelminthes, Trematoda, Strigeidida, Schistosomatidae.